GGAGAGAUGGGUGAGUGGCUGAAACCAACGGUUUGCUAAACCGUCGUACGCUGUAAAAGUGUAUCCCGAGUUCGAAUCUCGGUCUCUCCGCAA
RNAcentral lists this transfer RNA (93 nucleotides) under Ignavibacteriota bacterium. RNAcentral's name for it is "Ignavibacteriae bacterium tRNA-Ser". It matches the Rfam family "tRNA". From Rfam's summary of the family: Transfer RNA (tRNA) molecules are approximately 80 nucleotides in length. Lineage: Bacteria; Pseudomonadati; Ignavibacteriota. The record is from RNAcentral.